GGUGCGAUACCCAAGUCUGGCCCAAGGGGCUGGCCUGCUAAGUCAGUAUGCAACGCAUGCGGGGGUUCGAAUCCCCCUCGCACCACCA
Molecule: transfer RNA, 88 nt
Filed under: archaeon
Lineage: Archaea
Also listed under: 3 other names
Description: tRNA-Ser
Rfam family: tRNA
About the family: Transfer RNA (tRNA) molecules are approximately 80 nucleotides in length. Their secondary structure includes four short double-helical elements and three loops (D, anti-codon, and T loops). Further hydrogen bonds mediate the characteristic L-shaped molecular structure. tRNAs have two regions of fundamental functional importance: the anti-codon, which is responsible for specific mRNA codon recognition, and the 3' end, to which the tRNAs corresponding amino acid is attached (by aminoacyl-tRNA synthetases). tRNAs cope with the degeneracy of the genetic code in two manners: having more than one tRNA (with a specific anti-codon) for a particular amino acid; and 'wobble' base-pairing, i.e. permitting non-standard base-pairing at the 3rd anti-codon position.
Source: RNAcentral